This 136-nucleotide small nucleolar RNA is filed under the name Sphenodon punctatus (tuatara). The record is from RNAcentral. Lineage: Eukaryota; Metazoa; Chordata; Lepidosauria; Sphenodontia; Sphenodontidae.
GUGGCUGUAUUCGGUAUUGGUUGUAUUUGUCAGUAAUAUAAUGCAACCCUAAGCAGCCACAUACAUUAAAUCACAUGGUGCCUGCCGACAGUGUCUGUCUAGUCAUUAGAUGUUCUGUGCGAUGGCUCCAUACACG